UGCAAGUCGAACGGAAUUGAGGUGCUUGCACUUCAAUUUAGUGGCGCACGGGUGAGUAACGCGUAGAUAAUCUGCCUGAUGAUCUGGGAUAACACUUCGAAAGAGGUGCUAAUACCGGAUAAGCCCACGGAGUCUUUGGAUUCUGCGGGAAAAGGGGGGGACCUUCGGGCCUUCUGUCAUCAGAUGAGUCAGCGUACCAUUAGCUAGUUGGUAAGGUAAUGGCCUACCAAGGCUACGAUGGUUAGCUGGUCUGAGAGGAUGAUCAGCCACACUGGAACUGACAUACGGGUCAGACUCCUACGGGAGGCAGCAGUCGGGAAUUUUGGGCAAUGGGCGAAAGCCUGACCCAGCAACGCCGCGUGAAGGAUGAAAUCCCUCGGGAUGUAAACUUCGCAAGAACGGGAAGAAUAAGCGAGAGUAAAUAUCUUUCGCGAUGACGGUACCGUUUGUAAGCUCCGGCUAACUCCGUGCCAGCAGCCGCGGUAAUACGGGGGGAGCAAGCGUUGUUCGGAUUUACUGGGCGUAAAGGGCGCGUAGGCGGCCUGUGCAAGUCAGUUGUGAAAUCUCCGAGCUUAACUCGGAAAGGUCAACUGAUACUGCUCGGCUAGAGUGCGGAAGGGGCAACUGGAAUUCCUGGUGUAGCGGUGAAAUGCGUAGAUAUCAAGAGGAACACCUGCGGCGAAGGCGGGUUGCUGGGCCGACA
RNAcentral lists this ribosomal RNA (703 nucleotides) under uncultured soil bacterium. RNAcentral's name for it is "bacterial SSU rRNA". It matches the Rfam family "Bacterial small subunit ribosomal RNA", at positions 56 to 739 of the family's 1533-position model. The record is from RNAcentral.